Pimephales promelas (fathead minnow) is the source of this 547-nucleotide non-coding RNA. Lineage: Eukaryota; Metazoa; Chordata; Actinopteri; Cypriniformes; Leuciscidae. The record is from RefSeq and is a predicted model, not a curated record.
GACGUGAUAAAAGCAAAGAAAACACGGUCGGAAGAGACUAGGAAGACUAGACUAGGCUUUUCCAUAAAUGGGGCUUUUCACUCAUUGGCGCGAGCUAAAAAGCAGCACUGAAUGCAACAGUGAUGCUGACAUGGCGAUCUUGUUGAUGGACUAAUGCAGAAGAUCCCGACAGCAGCAGCGACUAUCAUCAGAGAUCCAGCAACAGCAGAAGAGAUCAACACUAUCAGUGACACUGAGACUGAACCUGAAGGAGAGAGUCAUUAGUGAGUGUUUGGUGUUGAUGCCGUGAAGUCAGUGUCAGUGACUGAGGGAGAAUCUGUCACUCUAAACCCUGAUACUGAAAUACAGACAGGUGAACUGAUAAUGUGGAGAACUGUACACGACGACAGUCUCAUAGCUAAAAUCAAUGAAAAGGACAAGAAGACAGAUUUUCUUGAGAGAUUCAGAGACAGACUGACACUGGAUGAGAAGACUGGAUCUCUGACCAUCAUGAACACCAGAACCACAGACUCUGGACUUUAUAAAGUUAUCAACACCAGAUCAGACA